AAGAUUUUAAGUUAAAUAAACUAAUAAUUUUCAAAAUUAUUCAUAUAGAAACUUUUUUCUUUAAGUCUUA
Molecule: transfer RNA, 70 nt
Filed under: Dahlica ochrostigma
Lineage: Eukaryota; Metazoa; Arthropoda; Insecta; Lepidoptera; Psychidae
Description: tRNA-Trp
Source: RNAcentral